AUCAGUAGAGGUUGCGUCUUAAAUCAGUAUUACUUUUUAGCAGACAUGCGUUAGAAGAAGUAAGAAAGGGUGAGACGCCGAAGGAAACGGCUCGGUAGAAAUGUUUCUUGGGACUUAGUAUAAGAUGCUAAGUACUGUCAGUAAUAUGAUGCGCUAC
This 157-nucleotide non-coding RNA is filed under the name Jeotgalicoccus meleagridis. Its description in RNAcentral is "Lysine riboswitch". It matches the Rfam family "Lysine riboswitch aptamer". From Rfam's summary of the family: Riboswitches are metabolite binding domains within certain messenger RNAs that serve as precision sensors for their corresponding targets. The record is from RNAcentral. Lineage: Bacteria; Bacillati; Bacillota; Bacilli; Caryophanales; Staphylococcaceae.